This 373-nucleotide ribosomal RNA is filed under the name uncultured bacterium. RNAcentral's name for it is "bacterial SSU rRNA". It matches the Rfam family "Bacterial small subunit ribosomal RNA", at positions 29 to 399 of the family's 1533-position model. The record is from RNAcentral.
AACGAACGCUGGCGGCAUGCCUAACACAUGCAAGUCAAGGGGGCCCGCAAGGGUAACCGGCGAACGGGUGCGUAACACGUGAGCAAUCUGCCUAGAUGUGGGGGAUAGCCGGCCCAACGGCCGGGUAAUACCGCAUACGCUCGUCGACUGGCAUCAGUUGACGAGGAAACUUUCGAGGCAUCUAGAGGAGCUCGCGGCCUAUCAGCUAGUUGGUGGGGUAACGGCCUACCAAGGCGGUGACGGGUAGGCUGGUCUGAGAGGAUGGCCAGCCACAUUGGGACUGAGAUACGGCCCAGACUCCUACGGAGGCAGCAGUGGGGAAGUAUUGUCGGCCAAUAGGCCGGAAAACGGGACGUGACGGCCAGCGACGCCG